This 750-nucleotide ribosomal RNA is filed under the name uncultured Ralstonia sp. RNAcentral describes it as "bacterial SSU rRNA". It matches the Rfam family "Bacterial small subunit ribosomal RNA", at positions 65 to 804 of the family's 1533-position model. The record is from RNAcentral. Lineage: Bacteria; Pseudomonadati; Pseudomonadota; Betaproteobacteria; Burkholderiales; Burkholderiaceae.
AACGGCAGCAUGAUCUAGCUUGCUAGAUUGAUGGCGAGUGGCGAACGGGUGAGUAAUACAUCGGAACGUGCCCUGUAGUGGGGGAUAACUAGUCGAAAGAUUAGCUAAUACCGCAUACGACCUGAGGGUGAAAGUGGGGGACCGCAAGGCCUCAUGCUAUAGGAGCGGCCGAUGUCUGAUUAGCUAGUUGGUGAGGUAAAGGCUCACCAAGGCGACGAUCAGUAGCUGGUCUGAGAGGACGAUCAGCCACACUGGGACUGAGACACGGCCCAGACUCCUACGGGAGGCAGCAGUGGGGAAUUUUGGACAAUGGGGGCAACCCUGAUCCAGCAAUGCCGCGCGUGUGAAGAAGGCCUUCGGGUUGUAAAGCACUUUUGUCCGGAAAGAAAUCGCACUUACUAAUAUUAGGUGUGGAUGACGGUACCGGAAGAAUAAGGACCGGCUAACUACGUGCCAGCAGCCGCGGUAAUACGUAGGGUCCAAGCGUUAAUCGGAAUUACUGGGCGUAAAGCGUGCGCAGGCGGUUGUGCAAGACCGAUGUGAAAUCCCCGGGCUUAACCUGGGAAUUGCAUUGGUGACUGCACGGCUAGAGUGUGUCAGAGGGGGGUAGAAUUCCACGUGUAGCAGUGAAAUGCGUAGAGAUGUGGAGGAAUACCGAUGGCGAAGGCAGCCCCCUGGGAUAACACUGACGCUCAUGCACGAAAGCGUGGGGAGCAAACAGGAUUAGAUACCCUGGUAGUCCACGCCCUA